AGGGGCCGCGCCGCGACAGGUUCCCCGCGAGGGGAUCAAAAGGGAACUCGGGUGAAAGCCCCGGGCUGCCCCUGCAACUGUAAGCGGCGAGCCGUCCGGCCAUUACGCCAUUGGGACCAUCAGUCCUGAGAAGGCGGCCGGAACGGCGCUGACCCGCAAGCCAGGAGACCUGCCUGACGCAGUCGUUCUUCA
RNAcentral lists this non-coding RNA (192 nucleotides) under Novosphingobium sp. 9U. Lineage: Bacteria; Pseudomonadati; Pseudomonadota; Alphaproteobacteria; Sphingomonadales; Sphingomonadaceae. The record is from RNAcentral.